RNAcentral lists this ribosomal RNA (579 nucleotides) under uncultured bacterium. Its description in RNAcentral is "partial 16S ribosomal RNA". It matches the Rfam family "Bacterial small subunit ribosomal RNA", at positions 355 to 932 of the family's 1533-position model. The record is from RNAcentral.
UGGGGAAUUUUGGACAAUGGGCGAAAGCCUGAUCCAGCAAUGCCGCGUGUGUGGAGAAGGCCUUCGGGUUGUAAAGCACUUUUGUCCGGAAAGAAAUCCUUGGCUCUAAUACAGUCGGGGGAUGACGGUACCGGAAGAAUAAGCACCGGCUAACUACGUGCCAGCAGCCGCGGUAAUACGUAGGGUGCAAGCGUUAAUCGGAAUUACUGGGCGUAAAGCGUGCGCAGGCGGUUUGCUAAGACCGAUGUGAAAUCCCCGGGCUCAACCUGGGAACUGCAUUGGUGACUGGCAGGCUAGAGUAUGGCAGAGGGGGGUAGAAUUCCACGUGUAGCAGUGAAAUGCGUAGAGAUGUGGAGGAAUACCGAUGGCGAAGGCAGCCCCCUGGGCCAAUACUGACGCUCAUGCACGAAAGCGUGGGGAGCAAACAGGAUUAGAUACCCUGGUAGUCCACGCCCUAAACGAUGUCAACUAGUUGUUGGGGAUUCAUUUCCUUAGUAACGUAGCUAACGCGUGAAGUUGACCGCCUGGGGAGUACGGUCGCAAGAUUAAAACUCAAAGGAAUUGACGGGGUCAUAGCUG